This 497-nucleotide ribosomal RNA is filed under the name uncultured bacterium. RNAcentral describes it as "partial 16S ribosomal RNA". It matches the Rfam family "Bacterial small subunit ribosomal RNA", at positions 28 to 507 of the family's 1533-position model. The record is from RNAcentral.
GAUGAACGCUGGCGGCGUGCCUAAUACAUGCAAGUCGAGCGAACAGACGAGGAGCUUGCUCCUCUGACGUUAGCGGCGGACGGGUGAGUAACACGUGGAUAACCUACCUAUAAGACUGGGAUAACUUCGGGAAACCGGAGCUAAUACCGGAUAAUAUAUUGAACCGCAUGGUUCAAUAGUGAAAGACGGUUUUGCUGUCACUUAUAGAUGGAUCCGCGCCGCAUUAGCUAGUUGGUAAGGUAACGGCUUACCAAGGCAACGAUGCGUAGCCGACCUGAGAGGGUGAUCGGCCACACUGGAACGGGGCAACGGUCCAGACUCCUACGGGAGGCAGCAGUAGGGAACCUUCCGCAAUGGGCGAAAGCUUGACGGAGCAACGCCGCGUGAGUGAUGAAGGUCUUCGGAUCGUAAAACUCUGUUAUUAGGGAAGAACAAAUGUGUAAGUAACUAUGCACGUCUUGACGGUACCUAAUCAGAAAGCCACGGCUAACUACGUG